Molecule: ribosomal RNA, 327 nt
Filed under: uncultured bacterium
Lineage: Bacteria
Description: bacterial SSU rRNA
Rfam family: Bacterial small subunit ribosomal RNA
Source: RNAcentral
AGGGUUCGAUUCUGGCUCAGGACGAACGCUGGCGGCGUGCCUAACACAUGCAAGUCGAACGGGACUCAGCCCUUCGGGACUGAGUUUAGUGGCGAACGGGUGAGUAACGCGUGAGGAACCUGCCUUUCAGUGGGGGACAACAGUUGGAAACGACUGCUAAUACCGCAUAAUACUUUCGAGCGGCAUCGUUUGAAAGUCAAAGAUUUAUUGCUGAAAGAUGGCCUCGCGUCUGAUUAGCUAGUUGGUGGGGUAACGGCCCACCAAGGCGACGAUCAGUAGCCGGUCUGAGAGGAUGAACGGCCACAUUGGGACUGAGAUACGGCCCAG